Molecule: transfer RNA, 68 nt
Filed under: Palaemon capensis
Lineage: Eukaryota; Metazoa; Arthropoda; Malacostraca; Decapoda; Palaemonidae
Description: tRNA-Ser
Source: RNAcentral
GAAAUAACUAGUAUGAAGAAGAAGCUUCUAACUUCACCCUUAAGCGGUUAAACUCCGUUUUUAUUUCU